This 634-nucleotide long non-coding RNA is filed under the name Mus musculus (house mouse). RNAcentral describes it as "long non-coding RNA chr4:145574527-145575161". Lineage: Eukaryota; Metazoa; Chordata; Mammalia; Rodentia; Muridae. The record is from RNAcentral.
CGUGGGCAAAGGAGAUCCUAAGAAGAUGAGAGGCAAAAUGUCCUCAUAUGCUUUAUUUUUGCAAACCUGCUGGGAGGAACACAAGAAGAAGCACCCGGAUGCUUCUGUCAACUUCUCAGAGUUCUCCAAGAAGUGCUCAAGAGGUGGAUGGCCAUGGCUGCUAAAGAAAAGGAGAAAUUUGAAGUUAUGCGGAAGGCUGACAAGGAUCAUUAUGAAAGAGAAAUGAAAACCUACAUCCCCCCACAAAGGGGAGACCAAAAAGAAGUUCAAGGACCCCAAUACACCCAAGAGAACGCCCUCAGCUUUCUUCUUGUUCAGUUCUGAGUACUGCCCCAAAAUCAAAGGCGAGUAUAUCCUGGCUUAUCUAUUGGUAAUGUUGCAAAAAACUAGGAGAGAUGUGGCACAACACUGCAUUGUGUGACAAGCAGCCCUAUGAGAAGGCUGCCAAACUGAAGGAGAAGUACAAGAAGGAUAUUGCUGCUUACAGAGCUAAAGGAAAACCUGAUGCAGUGCAAAGGGGGGUGGUCAAGGCUGAAAAGAGCAAGAAAAGAAGGAGGAGGAAGAUGAGGAGGAGGAUGAAGAGGAAGAGGAGGAGGAAGAAUUAGAUGAAGAUGAAGAUAAUAAUGAUGAAUAA